ACGGGGUGCAGCAGGCGCGAAAACUUCACACUGCAGGAAACUGUGAUGAGGGAACUCCAAGUGUGUGCAUUUUUUGUACACUUUUCUGAACUCUUAAUCGGUUCAGGAAGAAGGGCUGGGAAAGACCGGUGCCAGCCGCCGCGGUAAUACCGGCAGCUCAAGUGGUCGUCGCUUUUAUUGGGCCUAAAACGUCCGUAGCCUGUUUGGUAAAUCUGUGGGUAAAUCAACCCGCUUAACGGAUUGAAUUCUGCAGAGACUGCCAGACUAGGGACCGGGAGAGGUGUGGGGUACUCGAGGGGUAGAGGUAAAAUUCUGUCAUCCUUCGAGGACCACCAGUUUGCGAAGGCGCCACACUGGAACGGAUUCGACGGUCAGGGACGAAGCCUAGGGGCACGAACCGGAUUAGAUACCCGGGUAGUCCUAGGUGUAAACGCUGUGAACUUGGUGUCGGGGAUCCGUCAGGGGUCCCCGGUGCCGGAGUGAAGAUGUUAAGUUCACUGCCU
This 503-nucleotide ribosomal RNA is filed under the name uncultured archaeon. RNAcentral's name for it is "bacterial SSU rRNA". It matches the Rfam family "Archaeal small subunit ribosomal RNA", at positions 325 to 829 of the family's 1478-position model. The record is from RNAcentral.